RNAcentral lists this long non-coding RNA (206 nucleotides) under Mytilus galloprovincialis (Mediterranean mussel). The record is from RNAcentral. Lineage: Eukaryota; Metazoa; Mollusca; Bivalvia; Mytilida; Mytilidae.
GUUUUAUCCUAUUCUAACUUUGUUAAUAUUAUUUUUUAAAUUUUAACCAGUAGAUAGAAUUUUAAAUAACGCAAUUUUAAAAAUAAACAAAAUUUUUAAAUGCGGUGACCCUGCAGAUAGGGUGGACUUCCAGAAGAAGAAGAAGAAGAAGAAGAAGAAGAAGAAGAAGAAGAAGAAGAAGAAGAAGAAGAAGAAGAAGAAGAAGA